Molecule: long non-coding RNA, 1320 nt
Filed under: Homo sapiens (human)
Lineage: Eukaryota; Metazoa; Chordata; Mammalia; Primates; Hominidae
Description: non-protein coding lnc-TRIM43-5:1
Source: RNAcentral
ACAUGAAUUCUGGAAUCUCGCAAGUCUUCCAGAGGGAACUCAGCUGCCCCAUCUGCAUGAACUACUUCAUAGACCCAGUCACCAUAGACUGUGGGCACAGCUUUUGCAGGCCCUGUUUCUACCUCAACUGGCAAGACAUCCCAGUUGUUACUCAGUGCUUUGAAUGCAUAAAGACAACACAGCAGAGAAACCUCAAAACUAACAUUUGACUGAAGAAGAUGGCUUCCCUUGCCAGAAAAGCCAGUCUCUGGCUAUUCCUGAGCUCUGAAGAGCAAAUGUGUGGCACUCACAGGGAGACAAAGAAGAUGUUCUGUGAAGUGGACAAGAGUCUGCUCUGUUUGCUCUGCUCCAGCUCUCAGGAGCACCGGGAUCACAGACACUGUCCCAUUGAGUGGGCUGCUGAGGAGGAGAAGCUCCUAAAGAAAAUGCAGUCUUUAUGGGGAAAAGCUUGUGAAAAUCACAGAAACCUGAACAUGAAAACCACCGGAUUAUGUGAGUUUAAGGAUAGAAGUAAUCAGAGCUGAAUAUCAGAAGAUGCCUGCAUUUCUCCAUGAAGAAGAGCAACAUCACUUGGACAGGCUGCAAAAGCAGGGCAAGGACAUUUUUCAGCAACUCAAUGACAGCAAAGCCAGAAUGGAACAUGCGAGGGAGAUUUUAAGAGGAAUGUAUUAGGAGCUGAAGAAAAUGUGCCAUAAAGCAGAUGUGGAGCUACUCGCUUUUGGAGACAUAUGCAGGGGUGAGUCCCUGCUGCUGCAAGUGCCCAAGCCUGUGAGCUCAGUGCAGGGCCCAUCACUGGACUGCUGGACAGUCUCAAUGGAUUCAGAAGUUGAUAUUACUCCGCAUCCUGAAAGAGCCAAUAGUCAUAUCUUCCUGUAUGGAGACUUAAGAAGCAUGAAUGUUGGAUGUGACCCUCAAGAUGGUCCCCGCAUCAUGGCAACAUCUGAAUGUUUUCCUGAGUAGAGCGCUCAGACUUUCACAUCUGGCAAAUAUUAUUGGGAGGUUCAUGUGGGGGACUCUUGGAAUUGGGCUUUUGGUGUCUGUAACAAUUAUUGGAAAGAGAAGAGACAGAAUGACAAGAUAGAUGGAGAGGAGGGACUCUUUCUUCUUGGAUGUGUUAAGGAGGACGUUCACUGCAGGCUCUUUACCACACCCCACAUGUGGUGCUAUAUGUUCCAAGGCCUAGCAGCCGAGGAGGAUUAUUCCUGGAUUGUGAAGGUAGAACCAUGAGCAUUGUUGAUGUUGAUCAAAGUUCCCUUAUAUACACCAUCCAUAAUUGCUCCUUCUCACCUCUUCUCAGGCCUAUCUUUCACUGUAGUCACC